CCAUGGUUUCAACCGUGGGUUUUGCUGAUUUUGCGAUUCACAAAGGUGGUUUCAAAUGAAACCAUGGUUUCAACAGUGGGUUUUCGGCAUGAUUUUGAGUCAACUGUUUUAGGUGGUUUCAAACCGUGGGUUUUAGGAAAACCAUGGUUUUUAGGCAGAUUGACCAAUCACAGAACAGUAUUUCGGUACAUUGCUGAGCUAGCUGAGCAAGUGCAUAGACGACGAGAAAUAGCUUUGCACGAAAUGAAGAGGAGCAAAGCGUUUAAUAUCGGUAUUUGCCGAGCUGUGAGAACAUCUAAAUUUUUGAAUGGAUGAAAACAUCUUACAACAUGCACAGGCUGUCCUGAGAGACUAUUAAAUGAGGAUUGUUAGAGAGGAAUAUGCCAACAAGAACUGCAAUGAGGAGUCGUUGACAGGAGGAAACUUUUUAAAAGAGACCACACACUACCUCAUCAACAUGCUUGAAGAUGAUCUGAGCCUGAACCCUGAAGAGGGACAAAGGGCCUCGUGAUAGACUACCUUUCUCUCUGCAAGUAUUGACAAUUCUGCUUUUGCAUGCUGAUAAUUUCAGGGAAUACAUGGUGAUGAGGCAUCAGUGUUGCAAUCAUCUGUGAGUGAUCAAAGAUGUUUCACAAGCCAUAGCAAGAAGAAAGAGGUUUUGUGAGAACUUCAACAACAAGAGAUGAGAUUGAGGCUACCCAACAACAACUGUAUGAGUGAUUGAUGGGACCCAUGUCUAUACAAGAAUUCCUGGAGGGAAACAAGCCUUGUACUUUCCGGAAGGGCAAGUCCACCCCAACAAAAAGUUUCUUUGAUAUAAUAGAGAAAAGUCCAUUGAGCAUAACACUGAAAAUUUCAUCAAAAUUUGAUGUAAAAUGAGAAAGUUUUGACAUUUUGAAGUUUCGCUUAUUUUCACAAAACAGAUAUAUGCACAUCCGGGUCAGUAUGCAAAUGAGUGACAAAGUGACGUUCUCCACUCAGUGUUUUCUUUUUGUAAUAUACUAGUAUCAUGCAUUUCCCCCCCCCCUCAUAAUGUGUAUAAAGUACAAGUGUAGUAUGGUUUGAUUUCUCCCUGAAACUUGUAAAAAGCCAUUGAGGCAACCUAUACUCGAUGAAGAGUUUUCUCAUAAUUGUGAAUUCUGUAAAAAAUCAAGCAUUAUAAUAUAUCUCAUAUAUUGAUAUACAUAAGAAAGAGUGAGUGUGUGACAUAGACUUGUUUGCAUAUCACCUGUUUUAUCACCUGAUUAAUUAAUUUCUUAUUUUACAUCCUAUUUUGACGUUUUCAGUGUCAUGCAUGUUUUAUUUUUCUCUAUCCAUUCACAUUAACUUUUUGUUGUACAGUGUACUUGCUCUAGAACAUGUAUUUUUUUGUAAUGUACAAGUAAGAAUUUCAUUAUUUAUUUGUGUCUUCUUUUUUUAACACUUUUUUUACAGGGGUGGGGGGGUUAAAUCAACCUCCCUUGAGAUCUCUGCCAAUGAUCACAUGAACGCCUUGAAAAUUGGUAUGAUAAUAGUGGGGGAUGUCAUGUGCAAUGCAGUUUGGUUAAUUUUUCCGAAAUCGUCAGAUCUUUUAUAUUAAUUAAUUAUGCUAAUUUCUGCAUAGAUCAUACUUUUAUACCACUGAUAACAAUCAAAAUGAAAAAAAAUCCUAGAUUGAAAAUGAAUUUCUUAUGUAUUUUAUUGUUUUAUGAAUUUCUUAUGUAUAUCUUUGUUUUUCAAACUUGUUAUUUGCCAAAAUUAUAGCAGAACAUUUUUUUGAAGCAUAAUUAUGCUGAAAUCAAGUAAUUUCACCUGUGAAAGUAAAAACAAUCAUGUCCAAAUGAAGAAGAUGAGAAAAUUCAACA
RNAcentral lists this long non-coding RNA (1844 nucleotides) under Lytechinus variegatus (green sea urchin). Its description in RNAcentral is "uncharacterized LOC121416618". The record is from RNAcentral. Lineage: Eukaryota; Metazoa; Echinodermata; Echinoidea; Temnopleuroida; Toxopneustidae.